UAAUAAAAUAGUUUCAAAGUCAUUUAUUUUUGCUUCUAUUCUUAGUGCUUCGAUAGGAGUGGCUUGAAGGAUCCCAGUGACUGUGCAGAAACAUUUGUUUAUAUUGGCAUUUACUUUCUUGGUUUUGUCGAUGAGUAUCUUGAUAUGUCGAUUCCAAAGAAUGUUUUUUGUGAAGGUGAUUCCUAGGAUGAGGCUAUUAUGAAAAUGUCUGCGUAAAUUGAUAUGUGUUCUAUGCCUCUAAAGGAUCUUUGUUUAUCAAAAAGUAUUUCUACUCUUAGGAAGCAAAUAUAUUGUUCAAGGCGAAUUCAUAUAUGGUGGUGCUCAAGGCGAAUUCAGAUAAGGUGGUGGCAGUUCUGCAACAACAACAUUUUACAUGUAUUUUGGAUUACGUAGAUGUCAAAAACCAUAAGUA
Long non-coding RNA from Lucilia cuprina (Australian sheep blowfly), 412 nucleotides. RefSeq lists it as uncharacterized. The record is from RefSeq and is a predicted model, not a curated record. Lineage: Eukaryota; Metazoa; Arthropoda; Insecta; Diptera; Calliphoridae. The transcript is spliced from 3 exons.